GGAGGCAGCAGUGGGGAAUAUUGCACAAUGGGCGCAAGCCUGAUGCAGCCAUGCCGCGUGUAUGAAGAAGGCCUUCGGGUUGUAAAGUACUUUCAGCAGUGAGGAAGGUGGUAGUGUUAAUAGCACUAUCAUUUGACGUUAGCUGCAGAAGAAGCACCGGCUAACUCCGUGCCAGCAGCCGCGGUAAUACGGAGGGUGCGAGCGUU
RNAcentral lists this ribosomal RNA (206 nucleotides) under Vibrio parahaemolyticus. RNAcentral describes it as "partial 16S ribosomal RNA". It matches the Rfam family "Bacterial small subunit ribosomal RNA", at positions 344 to 542 of the family's 1533-position model. The record is from RNAcentral. Lineage: Bacteria; Pseudomonadati; Pseudomonadota; Gammaproteobacteria; Vibrionales; Vibrionaceae.